This 161-nucleotide long non-coding RNA is filed under the name Apteryx rowi (Okarito brown kiwi). RNAcentral's name for it is "lncRNA (ENSARWG00000016760.1)". Lineage: Eukaryota; Metazoa; Chordata; Aves; Apterygiformes; Apterygidae. The record is from RNAcentral.
GAGUAUUUCAGAUGCACAAAUUUUAUCUCUAUUCUCACAGCUUUAUCUAUUGCAUGCAGACUUUUAAGUUAAGACACUCAGCACCUCAAGCACUGGACCAUGGUUGUUAAGCUCAAGAAAGAGAAGAAAUUCUGUUUAUCAGUGGGGAGACUGCAAUGACU